RNAcentral lists this long non-coding RNA (408 nucleotides) under Mustela putorius furo (domestic ferret). RNAcentral's name for it is "lncRNA (ENSMPUG00000032102.1)". The record is from RNAcentral. Lineage: Eukaryota; Metazoa; Chordata; Mammalia; Carnivora; Mustelidae.
CAGAGAUAAGAAAAUUGAGGCCAAAAGAGGUCUGGAGACUUUCCCAAAUCAUAUAGCAAGAAUAAAAAAGAGAUCUACCUUCAUCAGGUGACAAAGUAAGAAAGAGAAAGGGGGAAUGGGGUUAUCUUCUGUCCCCGUGAGAGCUGCCAGGAUAGUGUGGUUGGGCCCCCAUCGCCAACACCCAGCUGGACUACAUCUCCCGGUCUCCCCUGCUGGCAGGACACAGCCUCGUGACUGAGUUCUGCCCAACAGAAUGUGAGCAGAAGUGAUCAAUACCUGUUGCGGAUUGUCUACAUCCCUUACAGACGAGCUCAACUUGCCAAAAUUAAACAAAGGACUCUUGAGAGAAAUGCCACUCUUGAGAAAUGGGGAUAUUCGGAAAAUAAACUGCCCAUUUAUAGAGGCCAU